Molecule: long non-coding RNA, 494 nt
Organism: Ruditapes philippinarum (Manila clam)
Lineage: Eukaryota; Metazoa; Mollusca; Bivalvia; Venerida; Veneridae
Exons: 3
Source: RefSeq, a predicted model, not a curated record
UCAUUUUAACACCACGUCUAUUACCGAGCAGCAGACACAAACGAGAAGACUAUGUGGCCUUCACCCCUACACGAGCUACACUGUCACUGUCAGCACACUUCCAAUAGGGAACCAAUCCGGUUACAAUAGUGAUCCGAAAUCGGUUGUCGCGUUUACGUAUACUGAUAAACCAGCUUCGAGUCCAAAAGUUAUACAAGGGGGUUACCACUGGCAUCCCAGGGAAUGCGAAGGAAACAACAAGGAGAGGCGUGUGUGCAUAUUUUGGAAGCCUCUUGUAGAAGUAGAAAAGAACGGGAAAAUAGAAAGUCUACCAUUCAAAACAAACGCUGUCAAUGGUAGCAGACGACAAUAUCAAUCUAAAUUUGACCAUGAUCAAACGUACGGUUGCCUUGACAACGCGCCCUGCAAUGACAGCUUUAACUUUACCAUUUCUGCAAGAAAUGUAAACGGAACUUCUGAACGCUGGUCAAGUUUAUCGAUACCGUCUUCUUCCU